AGAAGGCUGGAUUGGUCGAAAAAAAUAUGGUGAGCUGGAAAUAUGUUUCUAGAUUGCAGUACUGCCCAUAGCAAAAGUUUAUACAAUAUAUUCUUCGUGUCUUCUUAUAGCUUCGCCGGCACAUGGAAGGAAGCUGUUCACAGGGCUUGUUUUCUCACUUUUGCUUCCAUGUUUGAUAUACUCUCAACUUGGACAAGCGAUCACUUGGGAGAAAAUUCUCAAGUGGUAAGAGACAAUGAUUUGGAGCUUCUUUUGAGGAUUACCAGGCUAUGGUGGCACAGCUUGAACACCAAUUUCUACUCAGAAGAUUGUCCUUAGGCUUGUGGUAUUACUGUCAGGUGCUUCUCUUUGACAAAUUUAGCCACUUUAAGGGUUCCUUUUUCUUUUCUUUUUUUCUUUAUCAAAACUGAGUAAAUUCUCUGCUGUGUAAUACAAAAAGCUUCAGCUAAUAAUUUUAUUGGUUAAUCCGUGUCUUUAUGUUACCUAUUUUUGUUUGGAUAAUAGUAAUCGCAUAACUUUUGGCUUCUUCUUCAUUUUUCAAGAUGUUAAGACCCAUUCUCGUGGUAUUAAUAUGAAGUUACUGAAGUAGUUUCUUUACUUGCUCUAGCUGAUUUAUCUUUCCUUUCAUUUUAAACAAAGAACUAACACACAAUAAGAGUAGGAUUGAGUAAACAAAUGUUUACUGAAGUUCAAUCUUUGUCAGCUCAAGUUGGGAAGCCAACUGGGUUGUUUAAUUAUGUCUAAUUAGAAGAGUAAAUAGAAGUACUGGGUGGAUAGAUAUUGUUAUUACACCUCAUAAACAAUUAUUUACUUCUCAUGACGUAGAACUUGCUUAUUGUAGUAAAAGGAAUUGAAUUGGCAAAGUAUAUCCUGGAGUAUGCUCAGAACUUGGAGAAAAUGGUCAUAUUUCAUUUAUUCAAGGCCUGUUACAAUGUUAUGCUUUAAUUAAUACGAUUAUUCUAUGUUCAUAGACAAUUGUUUUCUGCUUUUCGGCAGGGGAAAAGUCGUCUUGAGGCACAAGAACAACUUUGAGAACCAAGAGACAUGGAGGGGGAGAGGCUGAAAAGCUUGUUCGGACACUUUUCAUGGCUGCUAUAUCCUAUCCAGACAGCCAUCUGUAAUUUUCACGGAUGAGUCAGUUGAUCCAUGCAUAGAAAGCAAUACCAGAAUCAGCGGCUUUCAGUACCAGUCCCAGUAGUAUCCUUGGUUGCCUUGAGGCUCUGCUUUCAGCAUACGAGCUAUGAGCUUAGAUCUCCAUAGUACUUGCCUCUCGAUCCUCUCAGUUCUUGAAUCCUCGAUCUCGAGCUCAGAUUCGGAAAAACUAGGGCCUUGUGUACAAUGAAGGAAUUUGAUCUCAUUCCUCAUGAUCCUAAAUCUGUAGAGUAUAAAGCAAUUGGAAAAUGCUCUCAAUCAGAAAAUGCUUAAGUUACUUGGUGUUUCUUCAAUGUUGCUGGUUGCCUCGGUUAUUCCUAUUUCUUUUUCAUAUGACACAAAGACUAUGCCGGUAUAUGAGAGUGAGGACUGGGAAGGAUGCCUCCUCUGCUGUAAUAAUCCAAAGCUCAAGAAGCAACAUAAAUGAGUUGGAGUGGGAUCUUAGAGCUCGAGAAGCGAGUACUAUGGAUUACCUCCUUUCACCAUGUGAGCUACCAAGUUUGAUUCAUGGGUCUAGCUAGCAGCUAGGAAUAGCUAGGGAUGCUUUUGAUUCAUGUGUAGGUAGCAACUAGGAAUGCUUUCUUGUUUGGUAUAUUAUCUAGUAACUUGAAUGUUUGGAUGUUUGAAAAAUGCUACUUGAAUGAUAUGGAUUAGAGUGUGGUUUUAUAUGGU
Long non-coding RNA from Rosa rugosa (rugosa rose), 1824 nucleotides. RefSeq lists it as uncharacterized. Lineage: Eukaryota; Viridiplantae; Streptophyta; Magnoliopsida; Rosales; Rosaceae. The record is from RefSeq and is a predicted model, not a curated record. The transcript is spliced from 8 exons.